Long non-coding RNA from Oreochromis aureus, 969 nucleotides. The record is from Ensembl. NCBI's taxonomy places the organism in Eukaryota, Metazoa, Chordata, Actinopteri, Cichliformes, Cichlidae.
GCUGCAUCGUGGUUUCCUGCUGGUUCUGGGGGAGCAUCUGCUCUGCUGCCCUUUGGAGCUUAUACAGUUUGCCCACACAGGCAGACUGAACUCCAGACUGACUCUGAGAAGGACGAACAGAAGGUUAUCAUAUUUAAUACCUCUAUCAUGAAGAUGCUGACUGCGUUUCUGCAUGUGUGUCUCAUCAUUGCUGUGACACAAAGUCAUCCUCUUUUUGAGGAAAUUGGGUCAGGUGACUCAAGUAAUGCAGAUGUUGGUUCGCCAGGAGCAACGGGAGACCCACCAUUUGCAACAGAUGUUCCAGAUGAAACAACAACUGUGAUAGCUGACUCAACUACUCAAGAGAGAAUCUAUUAUGACUCAGAGGAAGAUCUAGGAUUUCUGAGAGACAAACCAACUGUGAUAGCUGACUCAACUAAUGAUGAUGGAUACUUUUAUGACUCAGAUGAAGAACUAGGAUAUCCGAGAUGGAGAGAGGAAACAGGCGGGUCUGAUGAUUCAUCUAAUGGAGGUGGAGAAAGUACUGACACAUCAGAAGAUGCACCAGAUGCAGCAGAGGAAACAGGCGGGUCUGAUGAUUCAUCUAAUGGAGAUGGAGAAAGUUCUGACACAUCAGAAGAUGCCCCAGUUGCAGCAGAUGCAGAUGAUGCCUGAAACAAAGACACCACCAUAUCAAGACACAUGAAGUUUUUUAAUAAAGAAAAGAGGGACUGCUUGGAUAACAUUGACUGUAAAACUGGAAACCAUAUGCUCCUGCAACAACUCUCUAACUCAUUCGUAAAAAGCACAAUAGCUGAUGUGUCUGUCUUCAUUACUGUUUCUUCCUCUGUAUUUCUGCAUUAUUGCUAUGAUGCAAGCAAUCAAGCAUCAUGUGCAAUAAAUUGGAACUGGAUAUUCACUUUAAAAGUCAGUAUGAUAAAAAGAAUACUUUCUGCACCUUUAUAUUAUAUAUACUGAGCUGCACUUCAU